RNAcentral lists this ribosomal RNA (316 nucleotides) under Clonostachys rosea f. catenulata. Its description in RNAcentral is "LSU rRNA". It matches the Rfam family "Eukaryotic large subunit ribosomal RNA", at positions 331 to 670 of the family's 3401-position model. RNAcentral also lists the same sequence under 1 other name. Lineage: Eukaryota; Fungi; Ascomycota; Sordariomycetes; Hypocreales; Bionectriaceae. The record is from RNAcentral.
AGACCGAUAGCGAACAAGUAGAGUGAUCGAAAGAUGAAAAGCACUUUGAAAAGAGGGUUAAAAAGUACGUGAAAUUGUUGAAAGGGAAGCGUUCAUGACCAGACUUGGGCAGGUUGAUCAUCCGUGGUUCUCCGCGGUGCACUCUGCCUGCCCAGGCCAGCAUCAGUUCGCCCCGGGGGAUAAAGGCUUUGGGAAUGUGGCUCCCUCGGGAGUGUUAUAGCCCACUGUGUAAUACCCUGGGGUGGACUGAGGUUCGCGCUCUGCAAGGAUGCUGGCGUAAUGGUCAUCAACGACCCGUCUUGAAACACGGACCAAG